This is a long non-coding RNA of Eptesicus fuscus (big brown bat), 1033 nucleotides long. RefSeq lists it as uncharacterized. NCBI's taxonomy places the organism in Eukaryota, Metazoa, Chordata, Mammalia, Chiroptera, Vespertilionidae. The transcript has 4 exons. The record is from RefSeq and is a predicted model, not a curated record.
CAUGCCCGACCUAAGACUUAGAGAAACUGUGGGCCAAGUUGCUACUCUGUGCCCGGUACCCUUCAGAGCUGUUUCACUUUUUCUGCCAAAUCUCGCAUUAAUGCUUAUGGCCAGCCCUAAGUUAGAACAAUACAGGGAAGAGAAUUCUGGAGAUACAGUUCUAGCUUCUCUAAGAAUGAUGACUCAAUACAAAAUCCACCACAAUUGUUCUAAUUGUUGUUCUCAGAGUGACAAAAUUUAUUCAAGGAAUAUAUACAAAGGUAAACAUUUAAAAUCUACUAACAUAAAUAAAAAGAGAAAACUAAAACAACCCUUGGCAGUUAUGAACUGAAUGUUGGUGUCCUCAAAAUUUUUAUGUUGAAGCCCGAAUCUCCAACAUGACCUUACUUGUAAAUACAGCCUAUGGUAAAGCUUAAAUGAGGUCAUAAGGGUCAGACUCUACUCCAAUAGGACUGGCACCCUUCUAAGGAGAGGAAGGAACACCAGAGCUCUUUCUCCCUGCUAUGUGAGAACACAGCAAGUAGGCAGUCAUCUGUAAGCCAAGUAGAGAGCUCUCACCAGAAACCAAAUCAGCUGGCACCUUGAUCUUGGACCUCCAGAACGGACUCUGAGGAACUUUAUAAACUGACUGAAAACCCUAAAAUAAGGCCCAGAACUGGCAAGAUGAAUCCCAAAAGAACAUGAAGGAAAGUUAUUAUUAAGGUGGCAUAAGGUAUACACCUGUACGUGCUGCCUCUCACAACCACACCAAAACUACAAUUAAAAGACAAAACGUCUAUCACCCAGAACCAUGUGAAAGCUGGCUGAGUAGAAGUUCUACAAAUGGAAGAAAAGAGAAGAGCAUUGAGACUGGGUAGGACAUGCACAAGCAUGGGAAAGCAGAGUAGCCUUGAAAACAAACUGCUGGAUCCCUAGCCAGUGUGGCUCAGUGUACAGAGCUUCGGCCUGCGAACUGAAGUGUUCCCCAGUUCGAUUCUGGUCAAGGGCACAUGCCUGAGGGACUGCUGGAGGCUCUCUCAUCAUUGAUGUUUCU